UACGUAGGGUGCAAGCGUUGUCCGGAAUUAUUGGGCGUAAAGAGCUCGUAGGCGGUCUGUCGCGUCGGCUGUGAAAACCCGGGGCUCAACCCCGGGCCUGCAGUCGAUACGGGCAGACUAGAGUGCGGUAGGGGAGACUGGAAUUCCUGGUGUAGCGGUGAAAUGCGCAGAUCUACGAAGGAACGCCAAAAGCGAAGGCAGCUCUCUGGGUCCCUACCGACGCUGGGGUGCGAAAGCAUGGGGAGCGAACAGG
This 253-nucleotide ribosomal RNA is filed under the name uncultured bacterium. Its description in RNAcentral is "partial 16S ribosomal RNA". It matches the Rfam family "Bacterial small subunit ribosomal RNA", at positions 524 to 776 of the family's 1533-position model. The record is from RNAcentral.